Chinchilla lanigera (long-tailed chinchilla) is the source of this 1051-nucleotide long non-coding RNA. RefSeq lists it as uncharacterized. The transcript is spliced from 3 exons. Lineage: Eukaryota; Metazoa; Chordata; Mammalia; Rodentia; Chinchillidae. The record is from RefSeq and is a predicted model, not a curated record.
CUAAGAGGUGGGAAGAGGAGAGGAGUAGCUGGAGUGAAUGCAUAGAAGAUGUAAAAGAGGAAGCAUUUCCCAAAAGGUCCUUGGCAAAAACACACAACAUUAUGAGAGAGCGAAGAAUAGAUCACUUGGCGGAAAUGCAGAGUGGACAGAGGAAGAGUUAGGACAUGAGGCUGCAAGGAAAAAUGUCCCUGCUGAUGUCAAAGCCUGUAACUCAGGACUCCUGAGGGUAGAGGGGAAACACUGAACAAUUCUUAGGCAGAGGAUUUCAUGACUCUGCAUUUUAGGAAGAUCAUUCAGGCUCUAGUAUGCAGAAUGGAUUGGACUGAGAGAAAACUACAGGCAGGAAGAUCACACAGGAGACAUUUACAAUAACAGGCAAGAAGUGGUGGAGAUUUAACUGGGAUGAUGCAGAGGAAUGGAGAGAAAAGGGGGUGGACACAAGAUGAAUAGAACCUGGUGUUUUUUCCACUCAUUCAUUCACUUGAUCAACUUCUGCAUGUCUGCUUUGAGACAUUACAUGCAAGGGGUGUGCAGGAAGAUUCCAAGGUUGUCCCCCAGAUUUCUGAACUGAUAAUUAAAAGUAAGAAGAUCAUGAGGAGGAUGCUGACCUGGAGCCCUGCAUAUUAUCACUGUCACGUCAGGCGGCAAUGGUGGAUAAAGAGUUACGCUGGUAUAAAAUCCUUCUCAUGGUACAAACAGUAAGAAUUUGGUGGUUACAGAGCAAAUUCAACCUCAGUUUACACUGUAUCAUGGUAAACAUCUUCAGCAACCAGUGCUUCAAUAAUUUAGUCAACCCUUGCUGCAUCUAAAAAUGCUGCUCUUUAACUAAAUCCACUCUGCACUUCAGACGAUAACAGAACUACACGGACGGCAUUCUUACUAAAGAGCUGAGCUUCUCCCUCAGUCCCUCCAGCUCCGUAAGCAACCUCAUCAGACAAAGGGUGCCCCGGGGUACUCUUCAUAAAACUGUUCAUCCCCAAGUCUCAGACAUCCCAAAACAUAACAAUUAACUCCAAUAUGUUAAAAGAAAAAUGAUGGGUUAACAGAGAAA